Molecule: ribosomal RNA, 467 nt
Filed under: uncultured bacterium
Lineage: Bacteria
Description: partial 16S ribosomal RNA
Rfam family: Bacterial small subunit ribosomal RNA
Source: RNAcentral
GACGAACGCUGGCGGCGUGCUUAACACAUGCAAGUCGAACGGAAAGGCCCUGCUUUUGUGGGGUGCUCGAGUGGCGAACGGGUGAGUAACACGUGAGUAACCUGCCCUUGACUUUGGGAUAACUUCAGGAAACUGGGGCUAAUACCGGAUAGGAGCUCCUGCUGCAUGGUGGGGGUUGGAAAGUUUCGGCGGUUGGGGAUGGACUCGCGGCUUAUCAGCUUGUUGGUGGGGUAGUGGCUUACCAAGGCUUUGACGGGUAGCCGGCCUGAGAGGGUGACCGGCACCAUUGGGCUGAGGAAAGGGCCAGGACUCAAACGGGAGCAAGAGGCGGGAAUAUUGCACAAUGGGCGGAAGCCUGAUGCAGCAACGCCGCGUGCGGGAUGACGGCCUUCGGGUUGUAAACCGCUUUCGCCUGUGGCGAAGCGUGAGUGACGGUAAUGGGUAAAGAAGCACCGGCUAACUACGUG